This is a non-coding RNA of Manis javanica (Malayan pangolin), 2798 nucleotides long. The record is from RefSeq and is a predicted model, not a curated record. Lineage: Eukaryota; Metazoa; Chordata; Mammalia; Pholidota; Manidae.
UGAUUUUUCUUUGAGGAGCUCUCCUUGACCUCAUCUCUGUGGCUCCAGGGCUGGGAACAUGACCCGGGCUUGGCUGAAGGGAAACUGCAUCAUCUGGCCACAGAGAUGGUUUUAAGGAGGGCAGGUGACCCAGGCGUGUAUAUCAGAUCUGGGAAUUUUGGUGACAUAACGGUGAAUGUAGCACUCUCUGCAAGAAUGCUAAGCGGGAAGAAUGUAAGUUUGGAGGUGGUGGGGGCAUCAGCACUGCCACACUGAGAUGCUGGAGCUUGACAGUGAGUCAGUACUGAGUAGUUGGGGAGGGGGUGGAGACAGAAAGAAUGAAUGGGAACGGUGACAUGAUGUGAGGUCCCUGAUCCAGCUGUUCCUGAAUGCAGUCAUACCUUGAACUUCCUGAUUAAGUGGGCCAAUAUUUUCUCACUGCCUCUACCUUUCUCUCUCCUCCUCACCCCAUUUCCUUUCUUUUCCUCUCUUUUUCCUUAAUCCAGACUGAGUUGGGUUCCUUCUACAAGCAACUCAAACAAUCCUGCUGUGGGGAAAAUGGAAGUUCCUGUGGCCAGGAUCCCCACCUGACCCUAAACUACUUGAUGAUGUAACUGGCCUGCUGCUAGGCUGCUGCUCACACACCUGUGGGCAGUAACUAGUGCUUGACUGGUGUCAACAUUUUGCUGCACUCCUGUAGAGAAGCCCCCCAGCCCCGCCCCUUCCCCUACUUUUCUACAAGGACAGCUGCCUGUUGCUUCACCCCAGAUAUGUCUGGCCUUGAGAAACCUGAAAGCACAGAGUGUUGUACCCAUGGAAAAGGAGCUAGAUAAGGGCCUUAAAGGCCAGACACCUGGCCAUGAAGACCACACACAUGUGCAUCUUAAAUACUUCUGUAACAGUGAAUUAGCAGUAUAGCAGUAUAAGAAGUGCAGCUUUGUGCAGAAUGAAGUGGCCUCUCUGAGCACCCUCCAUGACAACUCCCACCACCUUCUUAGCUCUACACAUUGCCCCCAAAACCUUAAAGGCAACCCCCAGACCCUGACAACUCCCAAUGCAGGGGCAGUGUGGAGGUGACAGGAGUAGACAGCUGACAAGGAAGUGAGUCCUAAUUCGUUUGGUUUAAAAUGCUGUGUGCACCCUGGCAGGGGCACAUACAUUUUGCACAAGUUUGGAGGUUUGCUGGCAGGAUGAUUACUAUCAAAGAAGUGUGAAAUUUGGGAAUGUGUGUUGGUGGGGAAGUUGAAGAAAUCAAAAUGACUGAAAUGCAGAUUUUAAAAUACAGGUAACUUACAGCCAGCCUCAAAACUUAGAUCACACAGUCAGCAGUUUUACAUGGUGUUUUUAUUAUUGCUCCCUCUUGAUGGUUCCUAUUGCAUAAUUUUUACUAUGUAUGGUUUGGGAACUUGCUUUGUACAUUUAGUAUCAGGCUAUUUCUCAUUUUUAUUUUCUAGCUUUUUACCUUCUUAUUCCAAAGUCACUUUGGAAAAUGUGAUUUGUGUGCAGUUUAAAUCAGUUGCUAAACACCAAAGAGUCCUGUGCAUAUGUAAUAAAGAUGUGUUGCAGGGAGAGGGUAAUGGCAGUCAUGGUUGAAAUUUUCAAAUCUGUAAUAGCGAACUUUCUGCAUAAAUAGAAUGUGAGUUCUAUGCAUCUGUUUCAUCAGGGUGGGUGACUUCUGUGGCUCAAGGAGGAACAACUGAAUCCUCUGAGGACAAAACAAGGGUAUUUAGACAGUCUGCUAUAAGGUUUUCUAAUGUUAGGGACUGAGUGUGUCUCCCUGCCCCAAUCCCCACAUUAUUAUGUUGAAAUCCUCACCCCCAGUGUGAUGGUAUUAGGAGGCAGGGCCUUUGGGAGACCAGGUCCUCACGAAUGAUGAAUGGGAUUCAGGCCCUGACAGAAGAGACCCCAGAGAGCUCCCUGCCUGCUCCAUCACGUGAAGACACAGCGAGAGGAUGGCCUCCACCGCCACUAAAGCUGCUGGUGGCUUGGUCUGGGAAUUCCCAGUGACCAGAAUGGAACUCCAAGCACACGUCGACCAUCCAGCAGACUCUGAGGCCCCCUUACCAGCUGGCCCUGGCUAGGUUCUGCCAACGGCAAUCACUGGUAAGGUAGGAGGAGAAGCAAAGAGGACCUCCCCGCUCCCGGCUUCUCUGGGUUUUUCUCUGGCUCAUCAGCAGUUCCAGAACCUCCGGUGUGGAGCCGCUGGCGGUCCCGACGCCUGUACCUGACCCCCUCUGGCUGUCCCAGAAAGGAGGAAUCCCGAGGGUUGGUGGAAUGGGCUGGACUGCAGCCCCCCCAUAUUCAUACGCUGAUGUGCUAACUACCAGUACCUCAGAACGUGGCUGUGUUUGGAGGAGGCUCCUUAGAGAGCCAAUGGAGUUAAAAUGAGGUCUUUAGGGUGGCCUUAUACUCACACCCCGAUGAGAAGAGGAGCUUGAGGCAGUCUCGCACUGAGGGAAGACCAUGUGGAGACACAGCCAGAGAGAGACAGCCGUGCCCACACCUGGACUUGGACUCGAGACCUGGGGGAAAGGAAAUGUUUGUUGUUCAAGCCACCUAUCUGUGUAUUUCUGGGGGCAGGCCUAGAUACUCUUACAGGUGGUGUCCAUUAAUCUCCAGGUUAACCCACUAUCUGUUUUCUGAAUCUUUUCUUUCUGGCCAAUUUCUCAUAUUAAGUUCCCUCUUUGAAAUGCCUGAAGUGGUUUUGUUUUCCUGACUAAAACAACUUAUAAAUAUCUUACAUGUAUGUGCUUUAUACCUGAAAGCCAUUUGGGAAAACAGACAUUGACAAAAGGAUAGAAUGAUCUUUUUUUUUUUUU